This 300-nucleotide ribosomal RNA is filed under the name Staphylococcus sp. RNAcentral describes it as "bacterial SSU rRNA". It matches the Rfam family "Bacterial small subunit ribosomal RNA", at positions 223 to 514 of the family's 1533-position model. Lineage: Bacteria; Bacillati; Bacillota; Bacilli; Caryophanales; Staphylococcaceae. The record is from RNAcentral.
AGAUGGAUCCGCGCCGUAUUAGCUAGUUGGUAAGGUAACGGCUUACCAAGGCAACGAUACGUAGCCGACCUGAGAGGGUGAUCGGCCACACUGGAACUGAGACACGGUCCAGACUCCUACGGGAGGCAGCAGUAGAGGAAUCUUCCGCAAUGGGCGAAAGCCUGACGGAGCAACGCCGCGUGAGUGAUGAAGGUCUUCGGAUCGGGGAACUCUGCUAUCAGGGAAUAACAAACGUGUAAGUAACUGUGCACGGCUUGACGGUACGUGAUCACAGAGCCUCGGCUAACUACGUGCCAACAC